This 71-nucleotide transfer RNA is filed under the name Marmota monax (woodchuck). Its description in RNAcentral is "tRNA.Ala". Lineage: Eukaryota; Metazoa; Chordata; Mammalia; Rodentia; Sciuridae. The record is from RNAcentral.
GUGGCUGGGGCUCAGGGGUAGAGUGCUCACCUAGCAUGCGUGAGGCACUGGGUUCCAUCCUCAGCACCACA